This 501-nucleotide ribosomal RNA is filed under the name uncultured Paraglomus. RNAcentral's name for it is "SSU rRNA". It matches the Rfam family "Eukaryotic small subunit ribosomal RNA", at positions 569 to 1071 of the family's 1831-position model. Lineage: Eukaryota; Fungi; Glomeromycota; Glomeromycetes; Paraglomerales; Paraglomeraceae. The record is from RNAcentral.
AGCAGCCGCGGUAAUUCCAGCUCCAAUAGCGUAUAUUAAAGUUGUUGCAGUUAAAAAGCUCGUAGUUGAACUUCAGGCCUGGCUGGACGGUCCGCCCUCUGGGUGAGCACUGUCUGUGGUCGGGUCCUACCUUCUGGCGAAGCGGCAUGGGCCUUAACCGGCCGUGGCGGGGGAACCAGGACUUUUACUGUGAAAAAAUUAGAGUGUUCAAAGCAGGCACGCGCUUGAAUACAUUAGCAUGGAAUAAUGGAAUAGGACAAUGGUUCUAUUUGUUGGUUUCUAGGACCGUUGUAAUGAUUAAUAGGGAUAGUUGGGGGCAUUAGUAUUCAAUUGUCAGAGGUGAAAUUCUUGGAUUUAUUGAAGACUAACUACUGCGAAAGCAUUUGCCAAGGAUGUUUUCAUUAAUCAAGAACGAAAGUUAGGGAUCGAAGACGAUCAGAUACCGUCGUAGUCUUAACCAUAAACUAUAGCCGUACUAGGAAUCGGGACGAGUGUUAGAAC